Molecule: ribosomal RNA, 497 nt
Filed under: uncultured bacterium
Lineage: Bacteria
Description: partial 16S ribosomal RNA
Rfam family: Bacterial small subunit ribosomal RNA
Source: RNAcentral
GAUGAACGCUGGCGGCGUGCCUAAUACAUGCAAGUCGAGCGAACAGACGAGGAGCUUGCUCCUCUGACGUUAGCGGCGGACGGGUGAGUAACACGUGGAUAACCUACCUAUAAGACUGGGAUAACUUCGGGAAACCGGAGCUAAUACCGGAUAAUAUAUUGAACCGCAUGGUUCAAUAGUGAAAGACGGUUUUGCUGUCACUUAUAGAUGGAUCCGCGCCGCAUUAGCUAGUUGGUAAGGUAACGGCUUACCAAGGCAACGAUGCGUAGCCGACCUGAGAGGGUGAUCGGCCCAACUGGAACUGAGACACGGUCCAGACUCCUACGGGAGGCAGCAGUAGGGAAUCUUCCGCAAUGGGCGAAAGCUUGACGGAGCAACGCCGCGUGAGUGAUGAAGGUCUUCGGAUCGUAAAACUCUGUUAUUAGGGAAGAACAAAUGUGUAAGUAACUAUGCACGUCUUGACGGUACCUAAUCAGAAAGCCACGGCUAACUACGUG